This 74-nucleotide transfer RNA is filed under the name Allorhizobium ampelinum S4. RNAcentral describes it as "Agrobacterium vitis S4 tRNA". It matches the Rfam family "tRNA". Rfam says of the family: Transfer RNA (tRNA) molecules are approximately 80 nucleotides in length. Their secondary structure includes four short double-helical elements and three loops (D, anti-codon, and T loops). Further hydrogen bonds mediate the characteristic L-shaped molecular structure. tRNAs have two regions of fundamental functional importance: the anti-codon, which is responsible for specific mRNA codon recognition, and the 3' end, to which the tRNAs corresponding amino acid is attached (by aminoacyl-tRNA synthetases). tRNAs cope with the degeneracy of the genetic code in two manners: having more than one tRNA (with a specific anti-codon) for a particular amino acid; and 'wobble' base-pairing, i.e. permitting non-standard base-pairing at the 3rd anti-codon position. RNAcentral also lists the same sequence under 1 other name. The record is from Rfam by way of RNAcentral. Lineage: Bacteria; Pseudomonadati; Pseudomonadota; Alphaproteobacteria; Hyphomicrobiales; Rhizobiaceae.
CGGGGCGUAGCGCAGCCCGGUAGCGCACUUGACUGGGGGUCAAGGGGUCGCAGGUUCAAAUCCUGCCGUCCCGA